This 718-nucleotide long non-coding RNA is filed under the name Aquila chrysaetos chrysaetos. RNAcentral describes it as "lncRNA (ENSACCG00020012054.1)". Lineage: Eukaryota; Metazoa; Chordata; Aves; Accipitriformes; Accipitridae. The record is from RNAcentral.
CGGAAAUGGUGCCGGCAGGGAGGCUUGGAGGAGCGUUGGCUUUACGAGGCCGCCAACCUGUGAUGCCAGUUUCAGGAGCUUCUUUGAGACCACCAGCUGCUGGAGGAAGCCUCCAGCCAGCCCAGUGACAGCUACAGCCGGCAGAGCCGACACCGGGAACGCCGCGAGCUGCACCGGCUGUGGCGUUCCCACGCGGAGACGGAAGGUUGGAAGCGCAAGGUGCUGCGGCUGCAGGACGGAACAGAUGCACCUCUUCCGGCGAGGAGGAGGACGACGGUGGCACCCGUGGGAAAGGGAGAGCGCACCAUCGAUAUCCAGGUGACCCUUGCAUCCGUCUUCUCUCCCGAGAGGCAGGCUAGGGCCAUGCAGGCCCCUGACACCCUCUCUAUCUCUGCAGGAUGUCAAGUUUAAGCUCCGCCCCAACGUGGACGAGCUCCAGGCUGUAUCCAGCUCAGUUCUCUCCUCCUCGCAGCUCGCCCUCCUCAAGCUGGUGCUGUGCAGGGGGCUUUACCCCCAGCUGGCCGUGCCUGACCAGCUCAACAGCGGCCGCAAGGACUCUGAUCAGAUUUUUCACACCAAGAACAAGCAGGGUGUCGUGCUUCAUCCCACCUGCGUCUUUGCUACCAGCCCGGAGUUGCUCCACGCCAAGGAGGGACUGGAGUGCGGUGGGAUCAAAGGUGGGACAACCCCAAUCGCAGAGGAAUUGGCUCCCCUUCUC